Molecule: unclassified non-coding RNA, 328 nt
Filed under: soil metagenome
Description: partial contains 5.8S ribosomal RNA, internal transcribed spacer 2, and large subunit ribosomal RNA
Rfam family: 5.8S ribosomal RNA (bases 1-120)
Source: RNAcentral
GAUGAAGAACGCAGCAAAAUGCGAUAAGUAGUGUGAAUUGCAGAAUUCAGUGAAUCAUCGAAUCUUUGAACGCACAUUGCGCCCCCUGGUAUUCCGGGGGGCAUGCCUGUCCGAGCGUCAUUACAACCCUCAAGCUCAGCUUGGUGUUGGGCCCCGCCGCCCCGGCGGGCCCUAAAGUCAGUGGCGGUGCCUUCCGGCUCCGAGCGUAGUAAUUCUUCUCGCUCUGGAGACCCGGUUGUGUGCUUGCCAACAACCCCCAAUUUUUUAAGGUUGACCUCGGAUCAGGUAGGGAUACCCGCUGAACUUAAGCAUAUCAAUAAGCGGAGGA